AUGCACGACAAUUGGGCCUCCUUUUGUCAAUUUGAGGAGCAGGCUUUCAUAAUGAACUGUGUGAUUAAUGAUAGUCCUCACCCUGCAGAGUUGCAUGGUUGGCAUGGUCAACAUGGCAAAGAAAGUAUAGAAGAUUUGCCAAACCAGGUAUGGGCUUGUAGAGUACAUCAGAGCGUCACAUUUCCUUUUUGA
Molecule: ribosomal RNA, 192 nt
Filed under: Triticum aestivum (bread wheat)
Lineage: Eukaryota; Viridiplantae; Streptophyta; Magnoliopsida; Poales; Poaceae
Description: partial small subunit ribosomal RNA
Source: RNAcentral